UACAGGGGGUGCAAACGUUGCUCGGAAUCAUUGGGCGUAAAGCGCACGUAGGCGGUCUGUUAUGUCGAAUGUGAAAGCCCUUGGCUUAACUGAGGAAGUGCAUCCGAAACUGGCAGGCUAGAGUACUAAAGAGGGUCGCGGAAUUCCCGGUGUAGAGGUGAAAUUCGUAGAUAUCGGGAGGAACACCGGUGGCGAAGGCGGCGACCUGGGUAGAUACUGACGCUGAGGUGCGAAAGCGUGGGGAGCAAACAGG
This 253-nucleotide ribosomal RNA is filed under the name uncultured bacterium. RNAcentral describes it as "partial 16S ribosomal RNA". It matches the Rfam family "Bacterial small subunit ribosomal RNA", at positions 524 to 776 of the family's 1533-position model. The record is from RNAcentral.